This is a non-coding RNA of Polyrhizophydium stewartii, 70 nucleotides long. The record is from the annotation of a GenBank genome assembly. Lineage: Eukaryota; Fungi; Chytridiomycota; Chytridiomycetes; Rhizophydiales.
GGAUGUAGCUCAAUGGUAGAGCAUCUGACUUUUAAUCAGGUGGUUGUGAGUUCAAGUCUCACCAUCGGCA